CCUACGGGCGGCAGCAGUGGGGAAUAUUGCACAAUGGGGGAAACCCUGAUGCAGCGACGCCGCGUGAGUGAAGAAGUAUUUCGGUAUGUAAAGCUCUAUCAGCAGGGAAGAUAAUGACGGUCCCUGACUAAGCAGCCCCGGCUAACUAGGUGCCAGCAGCCGCGGUAAUACGUAGGGGGCAAGCGUUAUCCGGAUUUACUGGGUGUAAAGGGAGCGGAGAGGGUAGGGCAAGUCAGAUGUGAAAACCCGGGGCUCAACCCCGGGAGUGCAUUUGAAACUGUCCAGCUGGAGUACAGGAGAGGUAAGCGGAAUUCCUAGUGUAGCGGUGAAAUGCAGAGAUAUUAGGAGGAACACCAGUGGCGAAGGCGGCUUACUGGACUGUAACUGACACUGAGGCUCGAAAGCGUGGGGAGCAAACAGGAUUAGAUACCCCUGUAGUC
Molecule: ribosomal RNA, 440 nt
Filed under: uncultured bacterium
Lineage: Bacteria
Description: partial 16S ribosomal RNA
Rfam family: Bacterial small subunit ribosomal RNA
Source: RNAcentral